UUGAACGCUGGCGGAAUGCUUUACACAUGCAAGUCGAGCGGCAGCGCGGGGCAACCUGGCGGCGAGCGGCGAACGGGUGAGUAAUGCAUCGGAACAUGUCCAUGUCGUGGGGGAUAGCCCGGCGAAAGCCGGAUUAAUACCGCAUACGCCCGAGAGGGGAAAGUGGGGGACCGCAAGGCCUCACGCGAUUGGGUUGGCCGAUGUCCGAUUAGCUUGUUGGUGAGGUAAAGGCUUACCAAGGCGAUGAUCGGUAGCUGGUCUGAGAGGAUGAUCAGCCACACUGGGACUGAGACACGGCCCAGACUCCUACGGGAGGCAGCAGUGGGGAAUUUUGGACAAUGGGGGCAACCCUGAUCCAGCCAUUCCGCGUGAGUGAAGAAGGCCUUCGGGUUGUAAAGCUCUUUCGGCCGGGAAGAAAUCGUGGUCUCUAACAUAGGCCAUGGAUGACGGUACCGGACUAAGAAGCACCGGCUAACUACGU
This 481-nucleotide ribosomal RNA is filed under the name uncultured bacterium. RNAcentral's name for it is "bacterial SSU rRNA". It matches the Rfam family "Bacterial small subunit ribosomal RNA", at positions 29 to 506 of the family's 1533-position model. The record is from RNAcentral.